GACGAACGCUGGCGGCGUGCUUAACACAUGCAAGUCGAACGGAAAGGCCUGCUUUCCCUUGUGGAUUGCGGGUACUCGAGUGGCGAACGGGUGAGUAACACGUGAGUGAUCUGCCCCCAACUUGGGUAUAAGCCUGGGAAACUGGGUCUAAUUCCCGAUAGGACUGCAGGGUGGUGCCUGUGGUGGAAAACGAUUUUCUAGUGGUUGGGGAUGAGCUCGCGGCCUAUCAGCUUGUUGGUGGGGUAAUGGCCUACCAAGGCGGCGACGGGUAGCCGGCCUGAGAGGGUGGACGGCCACAUUGGGACUGGGAUACGGCCCAGACUCCUACGGGAGGCAGCAGUGGGGAAUAUUGCACCAUGGGCGGAAGCCUGAGGCAGCGACGCCGCGUGGGGGAUGACGGCCUUCGGGUUGUAAACUCCUUUCGACCGCGAGGAAGCCACCUGGUUGGAAGGGUGGUGACGGUAGUGGUAGAAGAAGCACCGGCUAACUACGUG
RNAcentral lists this ribosomal RNA (494 nucleotides) under uncultured bacterium. RNAcentral's name for it is "partial 16S ribosomal RNA". It matches the Rfam family "Bacterial small subunit ribosomal RNA", at positions 28 to 507 of the family's 1533-position model. The record is from RNAcentral.